AAAAGAAUUGAGGGGCGCGCACACGCGCGGGGAGAGCAUGUGUUAUAUUUAGAAGCAACGAGAAGAACCUUACGUGCCCUGUGACAUGGUGAGAACUCUCCAGAGAGGGAGUGGUGCUUUCGAGAUCUCAGACACAGGUGGUGCAGAUGUGUUCUCAGCUACGUGUCGUGAGAUGUUGUUAAAUGUCUCGUAAAGAGCACAACCCUUGUCCUUAUUUAUCAGCACUUCGGGUGGGCACUUUAAGGGGACUGCCGGUGCCAACCCGGAGGAAGGUGGGGAGGACGUCAAGUCUUCAUGGCCCUUACGGCCAGGGUUCCCCCCGUCCUACAAAUGGUCGGUACAAAGGGUGCACAAGCCGCGAGGUGGAGCUAAUCCCAUAAAACCGUUUGUAGUCCGGAUCGCAUUUUGCAACUCGCUUGCGUGAAGUGGGAAUCGCUGGUAAUCCUGAAUCAGAAUGUCACGGUGAAUACGUUCCCGGCUCUGUACACACCGCCCGUCACACCAUGGGAAGGGGUUGCUCCAGAAGCAGGUAGUCUAACCUCAAGGAGGGCGCUUACCACGGAGUGGCUCAUGACUGGGGUGAAGCUCU
This 589-nucleotide ribosomal RNA is filed under the name Pseudomonas sp. RNAcentral's name for it is "bacterial SSU rRNA". It matches the Rfam family "Bacterial small subunit ribosomal RNA", at positions 903 to 1489 of the family's 1533-position model. The record is from RNAcentral. Lineage: Bacteria; Pseudomonadati; Pseudomonadota; Gammaproteobacteria; Pseudomonadales; Pseudomonadaceae.